Molecule: non-coding RNA, 33 nt
Filed under: unclassified sequences
Also listed under: 1 other name
Description: S4-Flavobacteria ribosomal protein leader
Rfam family: S4-Flavobacteria ribosomal protein leader
Source: RNAcentral
GAUUAUCGAAGGAAUAAGCCUUAAUUCAUAAUC